RNAcentral lists this ribosomal RNA (250 nucleotides) under uncultured bacterium. Its description in RNAcentral is "partial 16S ribosomal RNA". It matches the Rfam family "Bacterial small subunit ribosomal RNA", at positions 794 to 1047 of the family's 1533-position model. The record is from RNAcentral.
UCCGCACGGUAAACGAUGGAUGCCCGUUCUUCGUUCUUUUGAAUGAGGGACCAAGCGAAAGCAUUAAGCAUCCCACCUGGGGAGUACGCCGGCAACGGUGAAACUCAAAGGAAUUGACGGGGGCCCGCACAAGCGGAGGAACAUGUGGUUUAAUUCGAUGAUACGCGAGGAACCUUACCCGGGCUUGAAUUGCAGGAGAAGGAUACAGAGAUGUUGACGUCCUUCGGGACUCCUGUGAAGGUGCUGCAUG